CCUACGGGUGGCAGCAGUGAGGAAUAUUGGUCAAUGGGCGCGAGCCUGAACCAGCCAAGUAGCGUGAAGGAUGACUGCCCUACGGGUUAUAACCUUCUUUUAUAAAGGAAUAAAGUGAGGCAUGUGUGCCUUUUUGUAUGUACUUUAUGAAUAAGGAUCGGCGAACUCCGUGCCAGCAGCCGCGGUAAUACGGAGGAUCCGAGCGUUAUCCGGAUUUAUUGGGGUUAAAGGGAGCGUAGAUGGGUUGUUAAGUCAGAUGUGAAAGUUUACGGCUCAACCGUAAAAUUGCAAUUGAUACUGGCAGUCUUGAGUACGGGUGAGGUAGGCGGAAUUCGUGGUGUAGCGGUAAAAUGCUUAGAUAUCACGAAGAACUCCGAUUGCGAAGGCAGCUUACUAAACUGCCACUGACACUGAUGCUCGAAAGUGUGGGUAUCAAACAGGAUUAGAUACCCGUGUAGUC
RNAcentral lists this ribosomal RNA (460 nucleotides) under uncultured bacterium. RNAcentral describes it as "partial 16S ribosomal RNA". It matches the Rfam family "Bacterial small subunit ribosomal RNA", at positions 338 to 795 of the family's 1533-position model. The record is from RNAcentral.